Molecule: long non-coding RNA, 2308 nt
Organism: Musa acuminata AAA Group (dessert banana)
Lineage: Eukaryota; Viridiplantae; Streptophyta; Magnoliopsida; Zingiberales; Musaceae
Exons: 3
Source: RefSeq, a predicted model, not a curated record
AACUUGGCCAAUCUACUAUUACUGUUUUACUUGUGAUUAUUUGAGAUUACUGGAGUUAUAAGAAAGAGUGGAAAAAAAAGGGAAAGAUGAUGGCCUCAACUUCAACUGUCCCUAACAUGCAACACUCCCCUAGCCGUGCUGUCGUGGCCCAAGCUUGAAUUCACCACAAAUCCUUUUAAUACUUACUGUAGAAAAAGUUACUUGUACAAACAAAUGAUUUGCAUAACUAAAAUGAUGAAUUUCUCGUAUGUCAUUUAUAUAUAUUGUUGUUCAUGUUACCACCAAUUCUUUUUCUUUCUCCUCUAACUAUCAAAAUGAAUGGCAAAUUAAUACUAUUUAGGAUGUUGGUUUCAUGUUAAUUAGUUCUCACAUUAGUUCUGUGCUUGUAGUUAAUCUGUGUUUGUUCUGUUCUUCCCCUUUAAUUAACUUCUGAUUUCUAUUAUGAUAUAGUUUUUGUAUAAUACAUUCUUUUUGUAAAAUAAUUUUUCUUAUACUCCUCAAAUUUGUCUGAAGAAAUGAUUUUGCGUUGUUUUAGUUGCCUCUUAACCUGCAAUGGCUUUGUUCACUCCAUCAGGUCUUGUAAUGCAGAAGGAUUUGCUGACUUCAAGCGAUCGCUCGAUGAGAUGCCAUCAAGCAUCUAUCUUUUCUCAUUCAACUAGCAGUGUUGAGAACUUGCUCUUUCUCAGAGUACAUCCUGUCUCCACCAAUCUACUAUGCAAACCAUCAUCUUUGAUAAGACACCCUGAAGGAGGCCAUUUUUAGAUUUACCCAUGAGUGGCAGCCAGUGCUAUUUAUUUGAUUCUUAGAAGUUUUCAGCUUCAUGUGGCAACAAGUUCUAGCUUGAUGAUGUCUGUGAAUCUCAAUAGUUUGUUCCAGAUAUUUUGAAUAGAAUAUUUGAAAUAGCAAUUGAGAUGGAAAAGAUUGAGAAGAAUUCAUUGAGAAGCAAAAUGCUGGAGGGGUAUCUUAUGGUAGCUCUAUUUAAGCCAUCAACAUCAACCAGACUUUCCUUUGAGCCAGCUAUAAAAAGGUUAGGAAGAGAAGUUUUUGAUUCCAAAAGAAGCACGUGAAUUUUCUUCAGCCACGAUGAGAAACUCUUGAAGGUAUGAUCUUAAUCAAGGUCUGUCAUACCGAAUCGUACCGCCCGGUACGGGCGGUAUGUACUGGUCCGACAGGCUGCUAGUCCUUGAGGGUGAUUUUAGCAAUGAAGACAAUGAUGAUUGGACAGAAGAAGAGCUUGACAGUCAUGUAGUGUAAGAACGCGAAGGAAAAAGGCCUCUUUUGACUGGAGACUUAUAUGUCUCAUCGAAAGAAGGUAUAGGAACCCUUGGAGAGCUCACAUUUCCAGACAAUUCUAGUUGGAUACGGAGUAGGAAAUUUAGGCUUGGACUGAAGAUUGCUUCAGGUUUUUUUGAUGGUAUUUGAGUCCGUGAAGCGAAAACAGAAGCUUUCACUAUGAAGGACCAAAGAGGGGAAUGUGGGUCAGCUUUGCACUAUCUUUGGUUUCUUUUUCUCCAUUUACCUAAGUUUUCUUUCUGAUGUUUAUAGUGUACAAGAAACACUAUCCACCUGAAUUGAAAGAUGAAGUCUGGAGAUUGGAAAAGAUUGGUAAGGAUGGUUCAUUCCACAAGAGGUUGAAUAAAUAUGGACUCUUUACAGUUGAAGACUUUCUCAGACUUGUUGUUAGGGAUCCCCAGAAACUCCGCAAGGUUCUUGGAAGUGGUAUGUCCAAUAAGAUGUGGGAGAGUCUAGUGGAGCAUGCCAAGACUUGUGUCUUAAGUGGAAAGUACAAUGUAUAUUAUUCUGAUGACACAAGGGAUUUUGGUGCAAUUUUCAAUAACAUUUAUGAGUUUUGUGGCCUGAUUGCUGGUGGGCAGUUCUAUUCUGCUGAAAACCUGAAUGACAAUCAGAAGGUCAGAAGCGCGUCAUUUUGCAAAAUGACACUUAGACCUCGCUGUCUAAGUGCCGCCUCCACAUCCUCAAGGUUGAGCGCGUCAAGGACUACCUCCUCAAGGAGGAGUUCGUCGCCAACCAGGAGCGCCUCCGUCCCCUGGAGGAGAAGAACGAGGAGGAUCACUCCAAGUUCGAUGAUCUCCGGGAGUUGCCGAUGAGCGCCGGAAACCUGGAGGAGCUCAUCGACGAGAACCAUGCCAUUGUUUCGUCAUCGGUCGGAACGGAGUACUACGUUAGGAUCCUAUCUUUUGUCGACAAGGAUCAACUGGAACUUGAAUUUGCCAUUCUUAUGCAUAACAAGGUUUUGAUAGUCGCAACUGCUAUGCUGAUGAACACUAUCUUCUAACUCUAUUGAAUG